This 510-nucleotide ribosomal RNA is filed under the name uncultured bacterium. RNAcentral describes it as "partial 16S ribosomal RNA". It matches the Rfam family "Bacterial small subunit ribosomal RNA", at positions 28 to 507 of the family's 1533-position model. The record is from RNAcentral.
GACGAACGCUGGCGGCGCGCUUAACACAUGCAAGUCGAACGAAGAGCGAUGGAAGCUUGCUUCUAUCAAUCUUAGUGGCGAACGGGUGAGUAACGCGUAAUCAACCUGCCCUUCAGAGGGGGACAACAGUUGGAAACGACUGCUAAUACCGCAUACGAUCUAAUCUCGGCAUCGAGGAUAGAUGAAAGGUGGCCUCUACAUGUAAGCUAUCACUGAAGGAGGGGAUUGCGUCUGAUUAGCUAGUUGGAGGGGUAACGGCCCACCAAGGCGAUGAUCAGUAGCCGGUCUGAGAGGAUGAACGGCCACAUUGGGACUGAGACACGGCCCAGACUCCUACGGGAGGCAGCAGUGGGGAAUCUUCCGCAAUGGACGAAAGUCUGACGGAGCAACGCCGCGUGAGUGAUGACGGCCUUCGGGUUGUAAAGCUCUGUUAAUCGGGACGAAAGGCCUUCUUGCGAAUAGUGAGAAGGAUUGACGGUACCGGAAGAGAAAGCCACGGCUAACUACGUG